AACGAACGCUGGCGGCGUGGCUAAGACAUGCAAGUCGAACGAACUGGUCAAUUUAUUGAGCAGUUAGUGGCGAAAGGGUGAGUAAUGGAUAGGUAACGUGCCCUGUGCUCCGGAACAGCGUCGUUCGCCUUCGGGCGAACUACCGAAAGGGACGGUAAUACCGGAUAAUAUCAUUUGUCGAUGGGCAUUUGAUCAAAGAUUUAUCGGCGCGGGAGCGGCCUAUCUCCUAUCAGCUUGUUGGUGAGGUAACGGCUCACCAAGGCGGCGACGGGUAGCGGGACUGAGAGGUUGGCCCGCCACAUCGGGACUGAGACACUGCCCGGACCUCCACGGAGGGCUGCAGUAACGAAUCUUGCGCAAUGGGCGAAAGCCUGACGCAGCGACGCCGCGUGUAGGAGGAAGUCUUUCGGGAUGUAAACUACUGUCAGGGGUAAGAAAGUCCGCUCCGGCGGAUUGAUCUAACCCA
RNAcentral lists this ribosomal RNA (466 nucleotides) under uncultured bacterium. RNAcentral's name for it is "bacterial SSU rRNA". It matches the Rfam family "Bacterial small subunit ribosomal RNA", at positions 29 to 482 of the family's 1533-position model. The record is from RNAcentral.